CUAAUGCAUGUGAUGACAACAUAGUUCAGCAGAAAAACCAUGUAGAGUUUAGAGCAAUGUCUUUCGCUCCUAUCUGAUGCAAUUA
Triplophysa rosa is the source of this 85-nucleotide small nucleolar RNA. RefSeq annotates it as small nucleolar RNA snR60/Z15/Z230/Z193/J17. The record is from RefSeq and is a predicted model, not a curated record. The transcript has a single exon. Lineage: Eukaryota; Metazoa; Chordata; Actinopteri; Cypriniformes; Nemacheilidae.